This 253-nucleotide ribosomal RNA is filed under the name uncultured bacterium. RNAcentral describes it as "partial 16S ribosomal RNA". It matches the Rfam family "Bacterial small subunit ribosomal RNA", at positions 524 to 776 of the family's 1533-position model. The record is from RNAcentral.
UACGUAGGGGGCGAGCGUUGUCCGGAUUUAUUGGGCGUAAAGAGCGUGUAGGCGGCCAGACAGGUCCGUUGUGAAAACUAGAGGCUUAACCUCUAGACGUCGAUGGAAACCGUUUGGCUAGAGUCCGGAAGAGGAGAAUGGAAUUCCUGGUGUAGCGGUGAAAUGCGCAGAUAUCAGGAAGAACACCCGUGGCUAAGGCGGUUCUCUAGUACGGUACUGACGCUGAGACGCGAAAGCGUGGGGAGCGAACAGG